GAUGAACGCUGGCGGCGUGCCUAAUACAUGCAAGUCGAGCGAAUGGAUUAAGAGCUUGCUCUUAUGAAGUUAGCGGCGGACGGGUGAGUAACACGUGGGUAACCUGCCCAUAAGACUGGGAUAACUCCGGGAAACCGGGGCUAAUACCGGAUAACAUUUUGAACCGCAUGGUUCGAAAUUGAAAGGCGGCUUCGGCUGUCACUUAUGGAUGGACCCGCGUCGCAUUAGCUAGUUGGUGAGGUAACGGCUCACCAAGGCAACGAUGCGUAGCCGACCAGAGAAGUUGAUCGGCCACACUGGGACUGAGACACGGCCCAGACUCCUACGGGAGGCAGCAGUAGGGAAUCUUCCGCAAUGGACGAAAGUCUGACGGAGCAACGCCGCGUGAGUGAUGAAGGCUUUCGGGUCGUAAAACUCUGUUGUUAGGGAAGAACAAGUGCUAGUUGAAUAAGCUGGCACCUUGACGGUACCUAACCAGAAAGCCACGGCUAACUACGUGCCAGCAGCCGCGGUAA
RNAcentral lists this ribosomal RNA (515 nucleotides) under uncultured bacterium. RNAcentral describes it as "partial 16S ribosomal RNA". It matches the Rfam family "Bacterial small subunit ribosomal RNA", at positions 28 to 523 of the family's 1533-position model. The record is from RNAcentral.